Molecule: ribosomal RNA, 253 nt
Filed under: uncultured bacterium
Lineage: Bacteria
Description: partial 16S ribosomal RNA
Rfam family: Bacterial small subunit ribosomal RNA
Source: RNAcentral
UACGAAGGGGGCUAGCGUUGUUCGGAAUUACUGGGCGUAAAGCGUGCGCAGGCGGCUUCUCAAGUCAGGGGUGAAAGCCCAGAGCUCAACUCUGGAAUUGCCUUUGAGACUGAGUGGCUUGAGUACGAGAGAGGUGAGUGGAAUUCCCAGUGUAGAGGUGAAAUGCGCAGAUAUCGGGAAGAACACCCGUGGCGAAGGCGGCUCUCUGGGACGGUACUGACGCUGAGACGCGAAAGCGUGGGGAGCGAACAGG